Malus domestica (apple) is the source of this 549-nucleotide long non-coding RNA. RefSeq lists it as uncharacterized. Lineage: Eukaryota; Viridiplantae; Streptophyta; Magnoliopsida; Rosales; Rosaceae. The record is from RefSeq and is a predicted model, not a curated record.
GUGUUUUGGUAGAAAAAGGUCAAUGUGUUUCUGUCACAGCCCGUCCCGGAGGUACUUUUGACGGGAAUGUGAAAUGACAGAAUUGCCCUUAUUGGACAUUAAGGUACGUAGGUACGUAACGUUAUUUUGAAAAUAGCAUUGGUUGGAUGGGAUUUUAUUGGAAAUUGAUUUUUGGUAUAAUUGGUUAGGAUGAAAUGGAGGGUGUGGAUUAAUUUGGACCACACAUGACCUUCCUCUCUCCCUCUCCUUUCCCCGUGCUUUCCCUGUCUCUGUCUCUCCCUCACGAACUCACACCCUCACACACCCAUAUCGUACGGACCACCACCAAAACCCUUCAAAACUUGACGGAUCGGGGCAAAUAAGGAGAUUUCAAGCUUGUGGUGAGCUUUAGGAGGUCCUAAGGAAGCUCGGGGACGUUCGUUGGAGAAUUUUGGACGCCGGGAUCGUAGGUUUCAAGUUUGGCCGAACCCUUGGUUUUUGCAAGGUGAGACGUAUCACGAGGACGACCGCAUCCAGGGACGCCACGGGGGUUACGACCCGUCGACUUAU